GGAGAGAUAGCUCAGUGUUAGUGCACGAGGCUUGUACACCUCCUGAGGUCCUAGGUUCAAGCUCUAGUAUCACCA
This 75-nucleotide transfer RNA is filed under the name Erinaceus europaeus (western European hedgehog). It matches the Rfam family "tRNA". From Rfam's summary of the family: Transfer RNA (tRNA) molecules are approximately 80 nucleotides in length. Their secondary structure includes four short double-helical elements and three loops (D, anti-codon, and T loops). Lineage: Eukaryota; Metazoa; Chordata; Mammalia; Eulipotyphla; Erinaceidae. The record is from Rfam by way of RNAcentral.